UAUACCUAUAGAGCUGUUGCAGGUUUGGCUACUGUGUCACAUGUACAUCAGUAGGUGGUAAGAAGAGAGAGGCUAUAUCUACAUUGAGUCUUCUGACCUGUGAACAUCUGAUUACUAGUCUAACACU
Arvicanthis niloticus (Nile rat) is the source of this 127-nucleotide small nucleolar RNA. RefSeq annotates it as small nucleolar RNA SNORA17. The record is from RefSeq and is a predicted model, not a curated record. Lineage: Eukaryota; Metazoa; Chordata; Mammalia; Rodentia; Muridae.